UUGCCCCUACGGGACGCAGCAGUGGGGAAUAUUGCACAAUGGGGGAAACCCUGAUGCAGCGACGCCGCGUGAGUGAAGAAGUAUUUCGGUAUGUAAAGCUCUGUCAGCAGGGAAGAAAAUGACGGUACCUGACCAAGAAGCCCCGGCUAACUACGUGCCAGCAGCCGCGGUAAUACGUAGGGGGCAAGCGUUAUCCGGAUUUACUGGGUGUAAAGGGAGCGUAGACGGCAGGGCAAGUCUGGAGUGAAAGGCGGGGGCUCAACCCCCGGACUGCUCUGGAAACUGUACGGCUGGAGUGCAGGGGG
This 305-nucleotide ribosomal RNA is filed under the name uncultured bacterium. Its description in RNAcentral is "bacterial SSU rRNA". It matches the Rfam family "Bacterial small subunit ribosomal RNA", at positions 333 to 655 of the family's 1533-position model. The record is from RNAcentral.